This is an RNA transcript of Panicum virgatum (switchgrass), 1205 nucleotides long. RefSeq lists it as uncharacterized. The transcript is spliced from 3 exons. NCBI's taxonomy places the organism in Eukaryota, Viridiplantae, Streptophyta, Magnoliopsida, Poales, Poaceae. The record is from RefSeq and is a predicted model, not a curated record.
CGUGAGUGCCGCUCGGCCGCGCCCCAAGCCGGGCGCCACCAUGUUCGUGAGUGCAUGGGCCUGCUCGCCCCUUCCACGCAAGCCUGGGGUCUGCUCGCCUGCUCAGGCGCCGUCCAAGCAAGUGGAUCCCUCUGAUUUUUUUUGUUCCCCAUUCGAUUCAAGCCAUUUUACUUCACUUGCACCUCUACUGGAUGCAAAAUCCGUCACGAUUUCUUCUCAAAUGUGCAGUACACGACUAGAAUCUAUGGUCUUUGCUUGGUCAGAGAAUUGCAGAUCUUUUUCCCCUCAGUCUUUCCCCCUCUGAUAUGUCGCCCAGUUGGAUUCAUUUGUGCCGCUGUGGUAAAGAAAUGAAGAAAAACCUUUCCUUAAAUCCUUGUAUGCAUGAAGGAAAACUAAAGGUUUUCUUUACGAAGUGGAUCUUUUAAUUACUGCAUUUGAGAGCGAAACUGAAACUGUAGUACAUGCAAGAGGAUUAAAUUUGAGCUUGUCCCCAUGAGUUUUGGAUGGAGAGCGGAAGUGAUAGGCAUAACUAUAUCUUAGAAUUGAUCCCUGCAUGACCAGGGGACCAAAGCAUAAACCAUGAUCAUUUCUUAAUUUUCUACUUGUUCAUUUUUUGAGUUCUUAAUCUUUCAUAUGCAUAGCCUGACUACUGACUUAUGAUUGAAUUUUACAGUUUCGAGACUGAACUCAUCACUAAGCUCCAAACUAGGGGUCUUGCAAUGAAAAAUCAUGGAGUAUGCUAUCCUUGGUUCUCGUUACUAUUAUUUUUCUGCUACAACACCAUACCAGCUUUCAUGCACACUACCAUGAGUACCAGUCCACCAGCUCUUUUAUUUGUCAAACCAGGAGUACGUCUCAACAACACAAGCAAAAAAUUAUUCAAUCAUUUCCACGCAGUGGCAUCCCGAGGUUGCAUUACUACAGAGCAAGCUGAGCGUGAAAACCUGUGUGAUCUAUUGUUGGUGUUGCAGGUCCUGUUGGUGCUCUGGAACAUUUGCUACUUUGCUUCUGGAAUCAAAUUGCUACUUGUAUCAUGUGCUUUGAUUUUUGGUGGUGUAGGUCUUGCUGGUGUAUUUUGGGCUGUUGUAUCUCUUUUCAAUGUAAACAUGAGAUUGUAUCACUUAUUUUGGGCCGCUAAAAUUUGAUAUGUAUUUUGGCUUGUACUGAUCAUUCUGGUGUAUGGUAUGAGAAAUUGGAUUAAUUUA